AAGGGCUAGUAAUGCCGAUACACAGAUACCAUUAUACCAAAGAAAUCUCUAGAGAUAAACACCAUUGUUCAAAUUCAAAAGCCAGAUUUUCGGUAAUUUCUUGUAGUAGAUAUCCAAAAAGAGGAUGGACGGUUUGGUUACCCAUUCAUUCUUUAUUCAUUUUCAAUCAAUUCUUUUAUUUUCAAGAAUCACAAUUUCCUUUUCUCCUUCUUAUCUCAAAAUCUUUCGUUUGCAAAUUUAACAUAAAAGUAAAUAUAUUUAACUUUUUUUUUUUUUUAUAAAUCAUAUUUGUCGAUGCCCUUCUGUUGCGUUGACUUGACAGACUCGUGACCUCCAAAGGAGUGCCACCACCGCCGUCGUUGAUGAUGAAGAUUCCGGCUAGUAUUCCGGUAGAAAACCGCCGUUAACCGGCAGAAAAGGUUGCCGAAACGAGCAUUCAGAUAUGCAGAUGUAUACACACACUAUGUGAACGAUGAUAACACAUACAGAUGCAGCAAAUAUGAGAGGUUGUAAUGAUGUGUACCUGGUGUGAUGAACAGAAAAUGUUGUGAAUAUCGAAGCAACGAAUCGGUGAUGUUGUCAGGGAUAUGAAACACCGAUUCCUUGUGAUUGCUUGUAGAUUAUCGGCCAAAUCGUAGUGAAGAGUCUAGUCGUGCUGAUAACGUGAUAAAAACUAAUCUGACUAAUGUGGAAAUUGUAUUGAAUCUUGAAUAUUAUUCCCAUACUCCAUUACAAAUCUCUA
Long non-coding RNA from Helianthus annuus (common sunflower), 742 nucleotides. RefSeq lists it as uncharacterized. The transcript has 2 exons. The record is from RefSeq and is a predicted model, not a curated record. NCBI's taxonomy places the organism in Eukaryota, Viridiplantae, Streptophyta, Magnoliopsida, Asterales, Asteraceae.